AUGGCUGUCGUCAGCUCGUGUCGUGAGAUGUUGGGUUAAGUCCCGCAACGAGCGCAACCCUCGCUAUCAGUUGCCAGCAUUUAGUUGGGCACUCUGAUGGAACUGCCGGUGAUAAGCCGGAGGAAGGUGGGGAUGACGUCAAGUCCUCAUGGCCCUUACGGGCUGGGCUACACACGUGCUACAAUGGCGGUGACAGUGGGUUGCUACCUCGCGAGAGGAAGCUAAUCCCCAAAAACCGUCUCAGUUCGGAUUGUUCUCUGCAACUCGAGAGCAUGAAGUUGGAAUCGCUAGUAAUCGUGGAUCAGCGUGCCACGGUGAAUACGUUCUCGGGCCUUGUACACACCGCCCGUCACACCAUGGGAGUUGGUUUUACCUUAAGCCGGUGCGCUAACCUUCGGGAAGCAGCCGACCACGGUAAGGUCAGCGACUGGGGUGAAGUCGUAACAAGGUAGCCGUAGGGGAACCUGCGGCUGGAUCACCUCCUUUCAAGGAUAAACUUCGAAAGUAUUAGAUUUUUUUUGAUACAUAUUGAAGUUUGCACCUUUAAAAUACUAAAUAGCGCCAGAAUUUGCCGCCGUCUUCGUAUCCCUUUCUAAUUUGCCCGAGCCAAAACUAUAGUUUUGGUUUUAUAAAGUUUAAGUUUGUUUGAGCAGGACAUGGUCCAGUCAAUUCGGGCCUGUAGCUCAGCCCGGUUAGAGCGCACGCCUGAUAAGCGUGAGGUCGGAAGUUCAAGUCUUCCCAGGCCCACCAUUCCAAGAUUUCGGGGGGGCGUAGCUCAGUUGGGAGAGCGGUAGCUUUGCAAGCUUCAGGUCGUCGGUUCGAUCCCGUCCGCCUCCACCAUUUUGGUGACAAUAGCACUUAGGUGCGCUUUAACUUUAACGAUCAGGCAAAUAAAAAAGAGAAAAUUGUUUUCAAGCUAUUUUUUAGUUUGAGUGCUCUUUGUCAUUGUGAAUAGGUCAAUUAAUAUUACAUCUAAUUAAUCGUAAAUUAAGUUCAAUUUUUGUUGAGCUGAGUUAGAAAUCUACGUUUGGAUAGAAUAGAGAAAAAUUAAACGUAGCUUGUUUUAAUUUUACUUUAUUUGAAUUUAUCCCUGCGUAUGAUGAGAUCUCAAGUAUAAGAAGGGCAUUUGGUGAAUGCCUUGGCACUAAGAGGCGAUGAAGGACGUAGCACGCUGCGAUAAGCUGUGGGGAGGUGCGAGCAACCUUUGAUCCAUAGAUUUCCGAAUGGGGAAACCCGG
This 1237-nucleotide small RNA is filed under the name uncultured bacterium. RNAcentral describes it as "bacterial SSU rRNA". The stretch from base 1 to 486 matches the Rfam family "Bacterial small subunit ribosomal RNA", at positions 1045 to 1533 of the family's 1533-position model. The record is from RNAcentral.